RNAcentral lists this ribosomal RNA (253 nucleotides) under uncultured bacterium. RNAcentral describes it as "partial 16S ribosomal RNA". It matches the Rfam family "Bacterial small subunit ribosomal RNA", at positions 524 to 776 of the family's 1533-position model. The record is from RNAcentral.
UACGUAGGGGGCUAGCGUUGUCCGGAUUUAUUGGGCGUAAAGAGCGUGUAGGCGGCCAGGUAGGUCUGCUGUGAAAACUCGAGGCUCAACCUCGAGACGUCGGCGGAAACCAUCUGGCUAGAGUCCGGAAGAGGAGAGUGGAAUUCCUGGUGUAGCGGUGAAAUGCGCAGAUAUCAGGAGGAACACCUAUAGCGAAGGCAGCUUGCUGGGACGUUACUGACGCUAAGGCGCGAAAGCGUGGGGAGCGAACAGG